CGUAAGGCGCCGAAUGAGUCAUUAAAAAAUUAACAUCAUCCGAUCCCUAGUCGGCAUAGUUUAUGGUUAAGACUACGACGGUAUCUGAUCGUCUUCGAUCCCCUAACUUUCGUUCUUGAUUAAUGAAAACAUCCUUGGCAAAUGCUUUCGCAGUAGUUAGUCUUCAAUAAAUCCAAGAAUUUCACCUCUGACAAUUGAAUACUAAUGCCCCCAACUAUCCCUAUUAAUCAUUACGUCAAUCCUAGAAACCAACAAAUAGGAUCGAACGUCCUAUUCGUUAUUCCAUGCUAAUGUAUUCAAGCGUGAGCCUGC
RNAcentral lists this ribosomal RNA (312 nucleotides) under uncultured Glomus. RNAcentral's name for it is "partial 18S ribosomal RNA". Lineage: Eukaryota; Fungi; Glomeromycota; Glomeromycetes; Glomerales; Glomeraceae. The record is from RNAcentral.